This 285-nucleotide ribosomal RNA is filed under the name uncultured bacterium. RNAcentral's name for it is "partial 16S ribosomal RNA". It matches the Rfam family "Bacterial small subunit ribosomal RNA", at positions 333 to 635 of the family's 1533-position model. The record is from RNAcentral.
AUUACCCUACGGGACGCAGCAGUGGGGAAUAUUGCACAAUGGGGGAAACCCUGAUGCAGCAACGCCGCGUGAGUGAAGAAGUAUUUCGGUACGUAAAGCUCUAUCGGCAGGGAAGAAGAUGACGGUACCUGAUUAAGAAGCCCCGGCUAACUACGUGCCAGCAGCCGCGGUAAUACGUAGGGGGCAAGCGUUAUCCGGAUUUACUGGGUGUAAAGGGAGCGCAGACGGCAGUGCAAGUCUGGAGUGAAAGCCCGGGGCCCAACCCCGGAACUGCUCUGGAAAAUG